Long non-coding RNA from Eleginops maclovinus (Patagonian blennie), 870 nucleotides. RefSeq lists it as uncharacterized. The record is from RefSeq and is a predicted model, not a curated record. The transcript is spliced from 3 exons. NCBI's taxonomy places the organism in Eukaryota, Metazoa, Chordata, Actinopteri, Perciformes, Eleginopidae.
UUUGACAGCUUACGUCUGGCUAAGCUUGGUUAAACUUUUAGCCACACUUUUACUCUAGGAAAAUUGACGUAAGCAAGUAGUUUACCAGUAGAAAAAGCUGACAAAAUUAAAGUGCCAGUCAACCACACUACAAGAAGCAGCUAAUUGCAGUUUUGUAAAUGCCAGUAAUUAUGAGAACUAGCUUUGACGUUAGCACUGAGUUAGCAACCGAAGCAGGGUCAAGUGAGGCUAGCGCUUUUGCAGUCUCUCGCGACAUGUCCACUGCCCCUGUCCUCGCCCCAAGUACUUCAGAGCCUGCUAUCAGUGGGAGAAUUAAGCUGUUUAAUUCUAUGACCUCGGAGUGGAUAAACCAAACUCUUGGAUUGUUUUCCAGCUGAGGUCCUCGUUUUUGCUACCACACCAACACAGAGCCUGGGUUGAAAACUCUGAAAGGCGAUACUGUUAACACCAGAGCGGCACCCUCGGACAUCAACUUCAUCUGGGAAACGUCAUUAGGCCCACCGACAGCUGAAACACCAACAUUUGAAGUUUGAGCAGAUGUUGUGUCCUGAAGGGACGGAGCUCAAUCUUUAUUCGUCCCAGGAGAAGAACUGCUGCCUCACGCCCGAACAGUGUGGAAAAGGUGUGAUCAUGAAAAAGCACACAGAGUGGACGCACAUCGUGAGGUAAUGGUGUGUAAAAAAAACUGUAGAGCCGUGAACAAUAUUCUCCAUGAACAGAAUAUCAUUGCGCUCGUCAUGCAUGUCCGGUGACGUGCUGCAUCAUUUGGGCUGAUACAUGAGGCCCAUUAAAAGGUUUCACUUGGUGGCAGACUCUAUUUUUCAGCAGAAUCUGAAUGCAGGGAAAAAGGCUGUACUUGUGUAUUCAACU